CAGAGAUACUUUAGUGCCUUCGGGAACUCUAAGACAGGUGCUGCAUGGCUGUCGUCAGCUCGUGUUGUGAAAUGUUGGGUUAAGUCCCGCAACGAGCGCAACCCUUAUCCUUGUUUGCCAGCGAGUAAUGUCGGGAACUCCAGGGAGACUGCCGGUGAUAAACCGGAGGAAGGUGGGGACGACGUCAAGUCAUCAUGGCCCUUACGAGUAGGGCUACACACGUGCUACAAUGGCGCAUACAGAGGGCAGCAAGCUAGCGAUAGUGAGCGAAUCCCAAAAAGUGCGUCGUAGUCCAGAUUGGAGUCUGCAACUCGACUCCAUGAAGUCGGAAUCGCUAGUAAUCGUAAAUCAAAAUGCUACGGUGAAUACGUUCCCGGGUCUUGUACACAC
RNAcentral lists this ribosomal RNA (390 nucleotides) under uncultured bacterium. Its description in RNAcentral is "bacterial SSU rRNA". It matches the Rfam family "Bacterial small subunit ribosomal RNA", at positions 1001 to 1390 of the family's 1533-position model. The record is from RNAcentral.